RNAcentral lists this ribosomal RNA (370 nucleotides) under uncultured eukaryote. Its description in RNAcentral is "partial 18S ribosomal RNA". It matches the Rfam family "Eukaryotic small subunit ribosomal RNA", at positions 592 to 976 of the family's 1831-position model. The record is from RNAcentral.
CAAUAGCGUAUAUUAAAGUUGUUGCAGUUAAAAAGCUCGUAGUUGGACCUUGGACCUGGACAGGCGGUCCGCCUCACGGCGAGUACUGUCUUGCUGGGUCUUUCCUCUUGGUGAUCUGUUGUUUCGGCAGCAGGGAACCAGGACCUUUACUUUGGAAAAAUUAGAGUGUUCAAAGCAGGCUCGACGCCGGAAUAUAUUAGCAUGGAAUAAUAAAAUAGGACGUGCGGUUCUAUUUUGUUGGUUUUUGGAAUCGCCGUAAUGAUUAAUAGGGACAGUCGGGGGCAUUAGUACUCACAUGCUAGAGGUGAAAUUCUUGGAUUUUGUGAAGACUAACUUCUGCGAAAGCAUUUGCCAAGGAUGUUUUCAUUAA